ACGAACCGUGCGAACGUUGUUCGGAAUCAUUGGGCUUAAAGGGCGCGUAGGCGGGUGUUCAAGUCCGGGGUGAAAUCCUCCAGCUCAACUGGAGAAGAGCCCCGGAUACUGUUCAUCUAGAGAGAGGUAGGGGCACAUGGAACUUCCGGUGGAGCGGUGAAAUGCGUAGAGAUCGGAAGGAACGCCGGUGGCGAAAGCGAUGUGCUGGAUCUUUUCUGACGCUGAGGCGCGAAAGCUAGGGGAGCAAACGGGAUUAGAUACCCCGGUAGUCCUAGCCCUAAACGAUGGGUACUGGGUUGCGGGUCAGACAUAGACUCGCAGCCGAAGCAAAAGUGUUAAGUACCCCGCCUGGGGAGUAUGGUCGCAAGGCUG
This 372-nucleotide ribosomal RNA is filed under the name uncultured bacterium. RNAcentral's name for it is "bacterial SSU rRNA". It matches the Rfam family "Bacterial small subunit ribosomal RNA", at positions 525 to 896 of the family's 1533-position model. The record is from RNAcentral.